Molecule: non-coding RNA, 1456 nt
Organism: Corylus avellana
Lineage: Eukaryota; Viridiplantae; Streptophyta; Magnoliopsida; Fagales; Betulaceae
Source: RefSeq, a predicted model, not a curated record
CUUGUACCUAGCUAGAGAGUUCUCCUUAGAAAACUCAUACGCAAGUCUGUUCUUAACAAUUCCUGAUGGUUUAUGUUAAUCCCAUACACAGGUGAGAUUGGGGACUGCUGGCUGGAAAGAAAGAUACUACAAAGAGAAAUUUUCUGUAGAAACCUGGAGGGAUUCUGAAAACCUAAGAAAAGAAAUAGUAAAGAAGUACACUGAAGGUUUAUUGUGGGUUCUUCUAUAUUAUUUUUCAGGGGUCCCAUCUUGGUCAUGGGUUUACCCAUACCACUAUUCACCAUUUGCGUCAGAUUUGAAGGGCCUUGCUCAGGUCAGUGUAAAGUUUCAAAAGGGUUCCCCAUUAAAACCAUUUGAUCAACUUUUGGCUGUACUACCCCCAAAGAGUGCUCAUGCGCUUCCUAAAGCUUACCAGGCUCUGAUGACAGAUCCAGGGUCCAAGAUAAUUGAUUUAUAUCCUACUGAUUUUGAUAUCGACUUCGAUGGAAAGCGUUUUAUGUGGCAGUGAUGGUAUUUCUGGAUUUAUUAAUCUUCCUAAUGACGAUGCUGAAAUAGUUCACUGCUUUGAAGUCCAUAACAGCAUUAGUGAGAAACGUGUAUUGGACGGAAACAACAUUAAAAACACUUUUUUCAUUCUUGUUUUCUUUUUUUAUGUAUCCUCUGAUAUCGCAUCUGUUGAUGUUGCAGAUGUGUGUCUUUUGUGAUGCGUAAUGGUAGCGUACAUAUUCCGUGCCUACAUGAAGGUGUUGACUGUCCAACUAAGAGUAUUACUGAAGGAGAUAUUAUGGAAACAGAACUUUGGCAUGAAUACCAGGGUAACAAUCCCUCCAACAGAUUGCAGUAUGAAAGAUGUCGAAAAGUGGAUAGUAGCCUGAAUUCUGCUUCAAGCCGGUCCCCUAAGAUGAUACAUGAAGGCUAUCACAGGGGAUUUACUAAAGACUCAUCUUCAGAGGUGUUAUAUAAAGGUGCUGGUGAUGGAUGGGGUGCUGGUAGAGGAAAAGUUAAUAAUGCUUCCAAUAUUUCAGUGUCAAGUAGUAACUUAAAUGAACGGGUCAGGCCUCAUGGAGGAGCUCAGUCGAGGAACAACAAUGUUUGGUCGUAUAGAAAUGGAGUGACCUACGGCACAAAUAAUAUGCAGCAUCAGGGAACAAAAUUUUGGGCUCCUGUCCAACCAGGGAGAGGACAGCAUGCUGCCACAGCUUGGAAACGCAGUUCUGCUACCAGCUUUGUGCCCGGCCGUGGCAGGAGCCAACAUGAUCAACAUUCUUCCGCCGAGGAAAGUGGCAGCCAUUUGAAUGUACAUUUGAAAUCACUGUUCCCUAUGUUUCUGUGUAAUGCCAUUCAAUGACGAUGUGCUAAUCCAGUUUUUUGUAACAAACAUUUACCUUUUCUGAUUUCAAGUUUCUUUGACUGAGAUUGCUGUGCUAUGACAUGUCUAAGUAACUGAUCACAUUUU